Molecule: non-coding RNA, 153 nt
Filed under: Vibrio nigripulchritudo MADA3020
Lineage: Bacteria; Pseudomonadati; Pseudomonadota; Gammaproteobacteria; Vibrionales; Vibrionaceae
Also listed under: 2 other names
Description: FMN
Rfam family: FMN riboswitch aptamer (RFN element)
About the family: The RFN element is a highly conserved domain that is found frequently in the 5'-untranslated regions of prokaryotic mRNAs that encode for flavin mononucleotide (FMN) biosynthesis and transport proteins. This element is a metabolite-dependent riboswitch that directly binds FMN in the absence of proteins.
Source: RNAcentral
CAUUAUUCUCAGGGCGGGGUGCAAUUCCCCACCGGCGGUAUGCCAGUUUUUUUUGGUGAGCCCGCGAGCGCUUAAAACCCUAACGUUUUAAGGUCAGCAGAUCUGGUGAGAAGCCAGAGCCGACGGUAAUAGUCCGGAUGGGAGAGGAUGAUA